ACUCCUACGGGAGGCAGCAGUAGGGAAUUUUCCACAAUGGACGAAAGUCUGAUGGAGCAACGCCGCGUGAACGAUGAAGGCCUUCGGGUUGUAAAGUUCUGUUGUCAGGGACGAACAAGUACCGUUCGAAUAGGGCGGUACCUUGACGGUACCUGACGAGAAAGCCACGGCUAGCUACGUGCCAGCAGCCGCGGUAAU
This 198-nucleotide ribosomal RNA is filed under the name uncultured bacterium. RNAcentral describes it as "partial 16S ribosomal RNA". It matches the Rfam family "Bacterial small subunit ribosomal RNA", at positions 335 to 524 of the family's 1533-position model. The record is from RNAcentral.